RNAcentral lists this transfer RNA (69 nucleotides) under Ictidomys tridecemlineatus (thirteen-lined ground squirrel). RNAcentral's name for it is "Spermophilus tridecemlineatus (thirteen-lined ground squirrel) tRNA". It matches the Rfam family "tRNA". Rfam says of the family: Transfer RNA (tRNA) molecules are approximately 80 nucleotides in length. The record is from Rfam by way of RNAcentral. Lineage: Eukaryota; Metazoa; Chordata; Mammalia; Rodentia; Sciuridae.
GGGGUUGUAACUCAGUGGUAGAGUGCUCGUCUGGCAUGUGUGAGGCCCUGGGUUCAAUCCUCAGCACCA